CUGUGCUGUUCGUGACAGGAAUGGAAACCCAGAUCCUCUCGUGGUGGGCGACAGUGACUUUGGGAAAUGGAAAUUUGGGAGGAGGUGGGGUCUGUCACAAAAGCCUUUCCAAUGGGUCACUAGGGUGCUUUAUUCCAUGACUUUUUCAUUCCAAAGUCAUAGAUUUAGGACUGAGGCAGAAGUUGAGGCUAAUGCCUCUUCCCCCAAUACAGUGCUCAUUAGCUUAUCUCCAGGGCUCUUAAUAAGCCAGGCAGGGCUGGGCCUCUUGGUGAGGUAUACUGGAGGCUAAUGGCCUGGGUUUAUAUCCAGUCGCUCACAGGGCAUCUCUAGACAACAUUUUGGCUUCUGAAAUAUGAGCUCUAUUCAUUGAGUAACUGACACUUUUCUUUCUAAACAGUUGCAAUGAUACAAACUCCCCGCAUUUUACUUUGUUAAAAGGUGGCUUGUGAAGUGCUCCCUCAACUCUUGACCCAAUAUUCUGUUGAUUUAAUAAGCAAAUCAAAAGCAGAGUCAUUCUAAUAAGGAUAAGAUUUUAGGCAAGUCUUUUUAGGGUGUUUAUUUUUCUUGGAGAGCAUUUCCUUGAUUCAUUGAAUUUCUUUGGCCCUACAGAGGAGCGCCAGGAAGGCGGAGGCAGAAGUAUAUUUCAUCUCAAACUGACAGGCCUUCAAAGACAUUCUUUAUGGCAACUAGCUCACAAAAUUCCUGAAAAUUUAGAAUGGGCUUUUGUGAGCUGACCGGAGCAGCCGCCAGCACCCCGCUGGCAGGAGAGGGACAGGCUGCUGUGCUUUGUUUCAGAGUCUGCCCAAGGCACUGGGCCCAGGAGACCAGGUCAGCAGCCAUCUAGGUAGGAAGAUGCUGGCCUCCCUGGAGGGGUGGGGCUUCAGAUCCCUGACAGUCCCAGCCCUAGGACGGUGUCGGAAAGUCACAUGCUGCUCACGAGGUCUGCGCUGCCCCUCCUGACCUCCGGAAGCAGCACCCUUUGUGCGCCUGGUGAACCCAUCUUUCCAGACAACUCCAGCGUCCCCUCCCCUGGGAAGCCUUCAGGGAUGAAGCCCCCAGGCAGUCACCCACUCCCUCCUCAUUUCUCCCAUAGCGUUUGCUGUCCUUUGCUACACCGUUUAUUCUCUUGUCUAUGUUCUCAGUGGGACUGUGGGCUCUUUGAGCGAAAGAAGCUUUUUUUGUCGGUACUGGGUGCACAAUAGGUCUCAAUAAAUCUUAGACCCCAUGUCACCUUGUUUAGUGAUUCUCAAACAUAAGUGCAUAAGAAUUACCUGAAAAAUGGAUUAAAACGCAGAUCCCAGACUCUAGACCCAUGGCUUUGCAAUCUGGGUCUUUAAUAAGAUUGUGUGACUCUGAUGCACAUAUGUUCACAAACUACACUUUAAGAAAUACAGAUUGUUCAAACUUUUCAUUUUAUUGGUGAGGAGCCAGAGGGCUAGAGAUGAAACGUCCUGCGUCAGGACCCUUAGAGUACUUAGAGUAAUGGAAGAUCACGGUGGUUUGAGAUAGAACCGCCUCAAAUUCUCGUUAAGUGAACUAAGCCAGUCACAGCCAUACUGCUGAUUGCUGUUAGGAAUAUUUAAAAAUAUCUUGAGCUAAAAUCAUUGCACACCGCCUCGUAAAGCAAUGACAAGACUCUCCAUAUUUAGAUGCCUCGACUAAAAGGGUAUGAAUCUAGAUAUCAGAAGUUACCCCUGGCCUAUUACUAGGAGUGUCUCCUUAGAAUUUGAAGUGUUUUCUCACUGAUGUCAGAACAAGGCCCUCGAUGAUUUUUGCCUCUAAAUUGUAAUUAGCCUCAAUGGCUGUCACAAGAGCCGUUUGCCACAAGCUCUAUUUCCAGCAGAGUGUCCUCCGCCCGCCUCCUGAUGCUCACAGUUCGCGGCGGCAGACACAGGGCCCCAAACUAGACCCAGUGUUCAGGUGUCUGGUUCAUGCCUAUUUUUAUGAGCAAAUCUGUGUUUCAUCUGUCAGUUGUUUGGCGAGUGCCAUGCAUGCUGGUUACUGCCUUGGGCAGAGGUGCCACCUAGAGGGCCCUGUGACUACCACCGUGGCUUGGCAGGAGCUGGGCCGCCGAGGCCCUGAGGAAGCCCUGCAGCCACCCACUGAGGGUCACAGCAGCUCCUAAGCAGCCCUGGCACCAUUUAGAGGAGAGGGUUGCCAGGGGAACCCGGGAAGGACAGAGGGAUAGCUGGCUGGUUCUAAGCAUUCAGCUUCCUUUCUCCAUGUGAUUCUGAUAGGAACUGGUCUGGAACUCUGUUUCUCGGCCACAAGGUGUCAGCAGUGGGCUGGCCAGGUGCCGGCUCCCAGCGCAGCCCUGAGGAACGCCCUGGCGCACAGAGAAGGUGUCGCUGGCUGCCCUUUGAAAUUUUUUGUUUGGAGAAGUUGCCUUUGUUAUUAGUAGGGGCAUGAUUAUUAAGUUACCAAAAGGCCACCCCUCCUCGGUCUUGCCUGUGGAUAAGCCACAAGCCUCUAUGUGCCUUCAGAUGAAUAAAAUAGCCGCUGCAGGGCAUCUCGACCAAGCCCGAUGGUGGCUUGAAGAGGUCAACGCAGGUGGGGACAGGGGGAUAACGCUGCAGAAAGCCAUGAUGUACGGAGUGUGGAGACAGAAGAAUACAGGACAGUUAUUUUUUUAAAAAAAAUCUGGACGUCCAUUCUGGCUUGUUUGCUUGAAUUUGAAGUCUGGGUUUGCUUCUCCAUCUGUAAAAUGCCAUAGUCCCCAUUUUUCAAAUGGCAAUAGUCACAGGGUUGUUAUGUGGAUCAAAUGAGACAAAAUGAUUUGCGAACUAUGAGGUACUGUAUACACACUGGCGCGGGUCUUGGGAUUCGUUUGACCUGAGCUGUGUCACAGGGCUUCCUUCAGACGGGAUGUGAGCUCCUGAUCUGGCCUGAUAGAGUCAUCUUCCAAUGAGUUUCUUCCUGGAUGCCUUUCCGUGGCUUGUUUCCAAGCGGAAAGCUGGCAGUGGCUGUUCGGUCUUCCUUCUUCGCUGAGCCUGAUUUUCCAUACUGGAAGAAGAUGAAAUGCACAUUUCAGAAUGUAACUUUUUCCUGCAGGACACUAUCCCCUAUGGUGGAGUGAUGGAGAAAAAUAUGAGAUGAAGUCAGGGGAUAACUGAGUAACAUAGUGAUUUAUAAACUCAUGGAAUGAAAUGAAGGCGUUUUUUCCACUGGUGGGGUCAUUUAUUAUGUCCUAGCUGGCCAGAUCCGAGGGUUGAAGAGGCUUUGGUUCCUGAGCAAUAGAAAUAGCAGGAAACAAGUUUCUCCAUUGCUCCUCUUUCAAAAACAUGGAAUUCAGCUGAUGUUGAAAUAUAUCCCCGUCAUAGGCCUGACUUAAGACUCCUGUGCUCAUCACCUUUUUGGGGUCAAUGGGGACUGAAGCCUAGACCCCGUCACCUUGAGAUGAUGUCAAAGAAGAGCCGAGGCUGUCACCACUGGUCAUUGCUCUGUGGAGCUUUUCCUGUGACCCAUCUCUUGGUGGAAGUGAACUACCCUGAAAAUAUCCCAUGAAAACCUCUGAUGGGAAUUUCAUUGUAAUUUUACAAAGUUAUAUAUUAAUCUGUGCAAAAGUGACAUCUUUAAGAUAUAGAAUUUUUCCUUCCAUGAACAUGGUGUGUCUUUUCAUUUAUUCCGUUUCUCUUUUAUGUCUUUCAAUAAAAAAUUUUGUUUCUUUAUAAAGACUUUGCUCAUCUUAUAUUUGAUUCAUUCCUAGAUAAAUUAUAGCUUUUUUU
Molecule: long non-coding RNA, 3725 nt
Filed under: Equus asinus (donkey)
Lineage: Eukaryota; Metazoa; Chordata; Mammalia; Perissodactyla; Equidae
Description: lncRNA (ENSEASG00005032220.1)
Source: RNAcentral